UAAGUAGAAUAAAUGAUCGCGGCUGUACAGACGCAAGGGUACAGGUGAGGAAAGUCCGGGCUUCACAGGGCAGGAUGCCGGAUAACAUCCGGUGGAGGUGACUCCAAGGCUAGUGCAACAGAAAUAAUACUGCUACGCAACGCUGCGUAGUGAUGGUGGAAUGGCAGUGUAAGAGACUACCGCUGCAACGGUAACGGUGCAGGCUGUGUAAACCCCAUCCGAAGCAAGACCAAAACGAAAGCGACAGAUUUGCCCGAUCUGCUUUCAGGUGGGUCGCUUGAGGUAUCCGGUAACGGAUAUCCUAGAUAGAUGAUCAUUCACGACAUAACCCGGCUUAUCGUUCUGCUUAAUUU
Molecule: RNase P RNA, 353 nt
Filed under: Lachnospiraceae bacterium
Lineage: Bacteria; Bacillati; Bacillota; Clostridia; Lachnospirales; Lachnospiraceae
Description: RNase P RNA component class A
Rfam family: Bacterial RNase P class A
About the family: Ribonuclease P (RNase P) is a ubiquitous endoribonuclease, found in archaea, bacteria and eukarya as well as chloroplasts and mitochondria. Its best characterised activity is the generation of mature 5'-ends of tRNAs by cleaving the 5'-leader elements of precursor-tRNAs.
Source: RNAcentral